Molecule: transfer RNA, 64 nt
Filed under: human gut metagenome
Rfam family: tRNA
About the family: Transfer RNA (tRNA) molecules are approximately 80 nucleotides in length.
Source: RNAcentral
AUUAGCUCAGUUGGUUAGAGCGUCGGAUUGUGGUUCCGAAGGUCGAGGGUUCGAGACCCUCAUU